UGAGGAAUAUUGGUCAAUGGGCGACAGCCUGAACCAGCCAUCCCGCGUGAAGGAAGAAAGCGCUAUGCGUUGUAAACUUCUUUUCCAGAGGGAUAAAAUGAUGUACGCGUACAUUACUGAAGGUACUCUGGGAAUAAGCAUCGGCUAACUCCGUGCCAGCAGCCGCGGUAAUACGGAGGAUGCGAGCGUUAUCCGGAUUUAUUGGGUUUAAAGGGUGCGUAGGCGGGACAAUAAGUCAGUGGUGAAAACCUGCAGCUUAACUGUAGACUUGCCGUUGAUACUGUUGUUCUUGAGUAUGGUCAAGGCAGGCGGAAUGUGUAAUGUAGCGGUGAAAUGCUUAGAUAUUACUCAGAACACCGAUAGCGAAGGCAGCUUGCUGGGCCGUUACUGACGCUGAGGCACGAAAGCGUGGGGAUCGAACAGG
Molecule: ribosomal RNA, 424 nt
Filed under: uncultured bacterium
Lineage: Bacteria
Description: bacterial SSU rRNA
Rfam family: Bacterial small subunit ribosomal RNA
Source: RNAcentral